ACGGAGGGAGCUAGCGUUGUUCGGAAUUACUGGGCGUAAAGCGCACGUAGGCGGCUUUGUAAGUUAGGGGUGAAAGCCCGGAGCUCAACUCCGGAAUUGCCUUUAAGACUGCAUCGCUUGAAUCCGGGAGAGGUGAGUGGAAUUCCGAGUGUAGAGGUGAAAUUCGUAGAUAUUCGCAAGAACACCAGUGGCGAAGGCGGCUCACUGGCCCGGUACUGACGCUGAGGUGCGAAAGCGUGGGGAGCAAACGGGA
RNAcentral lists this ribosomal RNA (253 nucleotides) under uncultured prokaryote. RNAcentral's name for it is "partial 16S ribosomal RNA". It matches the Rfam family "Bacterial small subunit ribosomal RNA", at positions 525 to 777 of the family's 1533-position model. The record is from RNAcentral.